UUUUCCAUUUACUUUUUCUUUUCUGCUUUUUCUUUUUUUUUUUUUUUUUUUUUUUUUUUUUUUUUUUUUUUUUUUUUUUUUUUGUUUGAACACUUUAAUGGGCUUUUUUUUUUUUUUUUUUUUUUUUUUUUUUUUUUUUUUUUUUUUUUUUUUUUG
This is a long non-coding RNA of Tympanuchus pallidicinctus (lesser prairie-chicken), 156 nucleotides long. RefSeq lists it as uncharacterized. The record is from RefSeq and is a predicted model, not a curated record. Lineage: Eukaryota; Metazoa; Chordata; Aves; Galliformes; Phasianidae. The transcript has 2 exons.